RNAcentral lists this unclassified non-coding RNA (279 nucleotides) under plant metagenome. Its description in RNAcentral is "partial contains small subunit ribosomal RNA, internal transcribed spacer 1, and 5.8S ribosomal RNA". The record is from RNAcentral.
UUUCCGUAGGUGAACCUGCGGAAGGAUCAUUAUUGAAUGAGCGACCUUCGAGGGCUAUCCCUGAACCGGAGUGGAGUGCAACCUCGAGUGUCCUCACACACGUCCAUCCCACCCCUCUGUCCACCACCGCGCGGGUCCCCCUCUGGCUUGCUCGGGGGGGGGCUUCCGUUUUCACACCCACUUUGUUUGCCGUGUGGAAUGUAUUUUUUGUUUUUGAGAUCUCGACAACAAUACAACUUUCAACAACAGCUCUCUUGGCUCUCGCAUCGCUGAAGAACA